AGUGAACGCUGGCGGUAGGCCUAACACAUGCAAGUCGAACGGCAGCGCAGUAAGAGCUUGCUCUUACGGGUGGCGAGUGGCGGACGGGUGAGGAAUACAUCGGAAUCUACUUUUUCGUGGGGGAUAACGUAGGGAAACUUACGCUAAUACCGCAUACGACCUACGGGUGAAAGCAGGGGAUCUUCGGACCUUGCGCGAUUGAAUGAGCCGAUGUCGGAUUAGCUAGUUGGCGGGGUAAAGGCCCACCAAGGCGACGAUCCGUAGCUGGUCUGAGAGGAUGAUCAGCCACACUGGAACUGAGACACGGUCCAGACUCCUACGGGAGGCAGCAGUGGGGAAUAUUGGACAAUGGGCGCAAGCCUGAUCCAGCCAUACCGCGUGGGUGAGGAAGGCCUGCGGGUUGUAAAGCCCUUUUGUUGGGAAAGAAAAGCAGCAGGUUAAUACCCCGCUGUUCUGACGGUACCCAAAGAAUAAGCACCGGCUAACUUCGU
RNAcentral lists this ribosomal RNA (491 nucleotides) under uncultured bacterium. Its description in RNAcentral is "partial 16S ribosomal RNA". It matches the Rfam family "Bacterial small subunit ribosomal RNA", at positions 29 to 506 of the family's 1533-position model. The record is from RNAcentral.